Physcomitrium patens is the source of this 2302-nucleotide non-coding RNA. NCBI's taxonomy places the organism in Eukaryota, Viridiplantae, Streptophyta, Bryopsida, Funariales, Funariaceae. The record is from RefSeq and is a predicted model, not a curated record.
GUCAGAUGCACGAGUUUCAUGGUGGGAAUAGCUCCGAUUGAUGAGGAGUUUAUUGUCAUCUGGUUCUCCUGUUGCUAGCUGCAGCCAGCCAGGCCGCUCGCUCUCACGAGUCACUGUGCAAGCUUUAUCCAACCUAAACCCUGUUGCAUACAUCUCCUAGGACGAUUUUAGGUCAUUGCGUGUCUUUGUGUGAUUUUACUGCGUUGUGAACGGAAGAUACAGAUAAGUUGGGUGUAUGUGUCCACAAGUUGAAGCUGAGAUUGAGGAAGAGGAUCGAAAGACAGGUCUCGUUGCGGCUGCAGGAGAAGGUCCUCAGCACUCAUUUCUUGCUACAAACCCCUGACGGAGUAGUUGUGUUGAGCCUGGGGUUAGAACCUUCUACUUUUUCUAAUCAGUCAUUCACUCAGCUUUGCACCAUGAUGAGCACCGACCAGUGAGAAUCGUCGUAGGGACUUUUGGGAAGGCGGUAGGCGAGGACAACAUACAGUCCAGUUCCGGUAUGUCAACAUAGUUCAGUCCAACAUAGCCAUGGCCCGAUGUGUACCGUUGGAGAAGAACAGUGGCGUAUUCGCUGCUACAAGAGAAUGUCUUCUGGAAAGAGAGUGCGGAAUCCGAAAUAGUUGACGUGGAAUGAAACCAGCUGGCAUCCUCAUCCUAAAAUGAAUACAAGAACCUCAAGCAGAAGCGUAGGAACAGCCAGCAAUGACGAGAAAAGCUGGUGGCAAGAGAGGCACGCGAAACCAAGCUUCUGGAUUAUAGUUGCAAUGGGGUGUUCUCACCCUGCUUCACGUCAUAUGGUCUUUCUAUUCGGUUGUGGAUAGUACUAAUGGAAAUCCUGAAUGUGGGUUUCUUCUAUGUUCCUCACAACACCUCGUGUCCUUUACAGAAAACUCAGAGGCCUGGGUAUCGGAGGAAUGAAAAGAAGCGAUGGUUUUCAACCUUAGUAUUCAGAGCCAUUUUCAAAUGUGGGCCUGAAUUACUUCAAGUGAAGUUUUUCAGCAUUUGUGGCCAUCAUGUCUUCUUUGCAAUCCCUGCAAGUUCAAGAACCUCUCUGGAUUGUUAUGAAGUGUGAAGAUUAUGCAUGUGCAAGCGACUUGUGCUUUAAUGAUAGUCACGGGUGGCAUCUCACGUAAUACAAGUUGCAACAUGAGUAAUAUUUUCACAUUUUAAUUGCAGGUAUGUUUCGGACAAUUAACUUGACGGUUCAUGUGAGGAAUCUGUCAUUGAAAACUUUGAUAUGUAGAUUUCUGCACACUGUGGUUGUCACAUCAAGGGUUUUUAACCAUUGUAAGGAAGUUCAGAUUUAACUGAUGAUUUCAUAGAUGGUUUAUAGAGGUCUAGAAGUUUAAAAUGAAAAAUGUCUAAGCUUCAAAGAAACAUGACAUCUUGCCAUUUGAAGCAAUUAGUUUUGACCCGCUUUGGAACAUGCAAUUUCUGUACAUUUGCUGUCAUUUGUUGAUAUUUUAUGCCAAAUGAAGUGAAGUUUACAACUAUGUACGUCAUGGCACUUUUGUUCUAUCUGACAGAGCGGAUAGAAAUCUGAAUUUGUGCGGUUUUGCCAUAAGAAAGGAGUGUCCUAGUGAUCCUCCACUUCCAAAUCCUACGAACAUUAACAAUAUUGAUACCUCAUUAACAAUAUUGUGUUUCUACCUCAAUUUUUCAUGUUUGCAUUUCAGGAUGUGAUGACUAAAAGACUGAUUUUUUGAGUUCGUUGGUAUGUGACAAGUUAUUUCUUUGAACUUUGAUCCUGCUUGGUUCCUCUUCUAAUUCCCACCACGUGUGUAGACAGAGAAUGCGAAAAGUAAGACGGUAUAUCUGUUGGUGGAGUGACUCUAUUCAAAACAAGACGUCUUUGAUGUGAAUAGUACUAGUUAAAUUUGCCAAUAGAUCGCCCGAUUCACGAUUCUUAUACUUGCUUCAUGCAGAAUUCAGAGCUGUUUAGAGUCAAUAUACAAAAUCAACAUGCUAAUCAACACAACGUGAGUUUAUUCUCCAAUCUCUUCGGCAUAUGUCUAACUUAAAAUGUGUAAAAACGACGUUCCAGAGCAACAAGACCCUGAUGUGCUACUUCGGUGGCUCAAGAGAUUUUCACAUUGCUGCAGACAAUUCCAGUAAUGUAAGCAUUCUUGGUAAGGGUUGUUUUAGAAAUACCUACAAGGGCCAUGUAUCUCAUGGUUCAAGUGUUGCUGAAAGAUGAUGAUAGUCUUUGCCAUGGAAGGCAAUUUUAAGACUGAAGUUGACAUAGUUUCCCUUACAAUGUAUAUGAUUAUUUAUUUAUUAUUAUUAUUAUUAUUUUUGUUUA